UUUUGUUUGCUCAGUGGGGUUUUUAUUGCUCAGUGAGGUUGUUUUUUGGUCAGUGAGGUUGUUUUUUGGUCAUUGGGGUUGUUUUUUGCUUGGUGAGUUUUGUCUUUUGCUCAGUGGGGUUGUUUUUGCUCAGUGAGGUUGUUUUUUGGUCAGUGGGAUUGUUUUUUGCUUGGUGGGGUUGUUUUUUGCUCGGUGGGGCUGUUUUUUGGUCAGUGGUGUUGUUUUUUGGUCAGUGGGGCUGUUUUUUGCUCAGUGGGGCUGUUUUUUGCUCGGUGGGGUUGGUGUUUGCUCAGUGGGGUUGUUUUUUGCUCGGUGGGGCUGUUUUUUGCUCAGUGGGGUUGGUGUUUGCUCAGUGGGGUUGGUUUUUGCUCAGUGGGGCUGUUUUUUGCUCAGUGGGGUUGGUGUUUGCUCAGUGGGGUUGGUUUUUGCUCGGUGGGGUUGUUUUUUGCUCGGUGGGGCUGGUUUUUGCUCGGUGGGGCUGUUUUUUGCUCAGUGGGGUUGUUUUUUGCUCGGUGGGGCUGUUUUUUGCUCAGUGGGGUUGGUUUUUGCUCAGUGGGGUUGUUUUUUGCUCGGUGGGGCUGUUUUUUGCUCAGUGGGUCUGUUUUUUGCUCGGUGGGGCUGUUUUUUGCUCGGUGAGGCUGUUUUUUGCUCGGUGGGGUUGUUUUUUGCUCGGUGGGGCUGUUUUUUGCUCGGUGGGGUUGUUUUUUGCUCGGUGGGGCUGUUUUUGCUCAGCAGCCCGAUUCUCCCAUUUCUCAUGCCUGGUUUCAAUGCCUACAGUGACACACAGUGGCGAUGGGCU
RNAcentral lists this long non-coding RNA (799 nucleotides) under Lonchura striata (white-rumped munia). RNAcentral's name for it is "domestica (Bengalese finch) lncRNA (ENSLSDG00000001942.1)". Lineage: Eukaryota; Metazoa; Chordata; Aves; Passeriformes; Estrildidae. The record is from RNAcentral.